AGAGACACAGUCGCCGCGGGAACACGAAGGGGGCUAGCGUUGUUCGGAAUUACUGGGCGUAAAGGGCGCGUAGGCGGCCAUUCAAGUUAGAUGUGAAAGCCCUGGGCUCAACCUAGGAAUUGCAUUUGAUACUGUUUGGCUUGAGUUCGGGAGAGGUGAGUGGAAUUCCCAGUGUUGAGGUGAAAUUCGUAGAUAUUGAGAAGAACACCAGUGGCGGAGGCGGCUCACUGGACCGACACUGACGCUGAGGCGCGAAAGCGUGGGGAGCAAACAGGAUUAGAUACCCCAGUAGUCCCUGUCUCUUAUACA
RNAcentral lists this ribosomal RNA (309 nucleotides) under uncultured bacterium. RNAcentral describes it as "partial 16S ribosomal RNA". It matches the Rfam family "Bacterial small subunit ribosomal RNA", at positions 504 to 808 of the family's 1533-position model. The record is from RNAcentral.